AAAUUGAAGAGUUUGAUCAUGGCUCAGAUUGAACGCUGGCGGCAGGCCUAACACAUGCAAGUCGAACGGUAACAGGAAGCAGCUUGCUGCUUCGCUGACGAGUGGCGGACGGGUGAGUAAUGUCUGGGAAACUGGCUGAUGGAGGGGGAUAACUACUGGAAACGGUGGCUAAUACCGCAUAACGUCGCAAGACCAAAGAGGGGGACCUUCGGGCCUCUUGCCAUCAGAUGUGCCCAGAUGGGAUUAGCUUGUUGGUGAGGUAA
RNAcentral lists this ribosomal RNA (263 nucleotides) under Salmonella enterica. Its description in RNAcentral is "partial 16S ribosomal RNA". It matches the Rfam family "Bacterial small subunit ribosomal RNA", at positions 1 to 260 of the family's 1533-position model. The record is from RNAcentral. Lineage: Bacteria; Pseudomonadati; Pseudomonadota; Gammaproteobacteria; Enterobacterales; Enterobacteriaceae.